Molecule: long non-coding RNA, 5853 nt
Organism: Alligator mississippiensis (American alligator)
Lineage: Eukaryota; Metazoa; Chordata; Crocodylia; Alligatoridae
Exons: 3
Source: RefSeq, a predicted model, not a curated record
CCCUCAAGGGACUUCUUGCAAAGCCUGAUGCUUUUCAUGAAUGUGACAUGCUUCCUCCUCCAACUUGUCUGGGCUUCCCCAUCUGGAGAGAAAAUCAGCUAUGAAAUUAUCUUUGCCUGGGUGGUGUAUAACUGUAAACUUGAAGGGCUGCAAUGCCAAGGCCCGGUGAGUGAUCUGGGAGUUUUCACUUUGUUUCCAAGUUAACCAUUGAAGUGGGGUGUGAUCCGUCACUACCACGAAUUCUCAUCCCAUCAGGUAAUAUUUAAAAUACUCUAUGGCCCAACGUAUUGCCAGGCACUCCCUCUUGACCAUGGCAUACCUGAUGCGACUGAGCUUCCGACUGGUGAAGGUGAUCGGGUGCUCUUCUUCCCUGCAUCUUUGAAGUAAAUCCACCCCUAGUGCGUGGCCUGUUGCAUCUGUUUGUCAAAAUUAGGGGGUGUACACUAUGACAUCGUGAUGUAUCGCCUCCUUCAAUUCUUUGAAGCUCCUUCUCAUGUCUAGUGUCCAUUUCAACAGCACUGCAGGCCCCCCUCCCAGCGCAUCUGUGAGGGGUGUGGAGAGACUUGCAAAAUGUGGUAUAAACCAUUGAUAAUAAUGAGUCCCAAGAAGGAGCGUAGCUGUUUGCAGGUAUGAGGUUCCUGAAAUCGUCUUAUGGCUUCGAUCUCGUCGGUCAGGGGGCGUAUUGUUCCCCUGCCUACCCGAAACCCUAGGUAUGCCAUUUCUCACCCUGCUAACUUGCAUUUCUUGGAAUUGGCAGUCAGACCCGCUGCUUGGAAUUCUCCCAGGACAGCUUUCAGGGCUUCAAGGUGCUGGUGCCAACUGGGAGUAAAUAUAAUGAUAUCAUCGAUAUAUGCUGCUGCAUACGAUGUGUGCAGUGCAAGCAAGGUGUCCAUCAGCCUCUGGAAGGUGGCUGCUGCUCCGUUUAGGCCAAAGGGCAUACAUAUAAACUCAAACCCCAAGAGGUUCCAAAAGCGGUCUUGGUGCUAUCCACAGGGCGCAUUGGGAUUUGCCAGUACCCUUUGGCCAGGUUGAGAGUAGAUAUGUACCGUGCUUCGCCGAUCCUCUCAAUGUGGUGGGUAAUGUCGAAGGAAAGGUGUCGAAGGUCAUCAAGGCAUUUAGCUUCCUAAAGUCUACACACAGAUGCAGUGACCCAUCGGGUUUGGCCACCAGCACAAUGGGGCUACGCCAAGGGCUCCGGGAUGGUUGUAUAAUUCCCUGUCUCUGCAUCUUCUUUAUCUCCUGUCGUAUUUCCUGCUGCCAAUGCUGGGGUAUCGGCCUCCACCUUUCCCUAACCAGCGCACCAGGGGGAGUUCUGAUCUCACGUUCAAUUCCCAUCACUCAUCCCGGGGUUUCUUGGAACACUGCCCAGAAAUCCUCUAAGUCCAACAGCUCCUGUUGUUGCUGACUAUCCAGCUCUUUCCUUGUUUGCACUGACUCUUCUCCUGUGGAUUCACUUAACUCGAGGCUGGACAGUCCUAGGACUUUCCCCACCUCCUCUUCUUGUGCCAUCCAGCCCUGUGGGGUUUUCUACUCCUUAAGAAGGUUCACAUGAUAAAUUUGGUGUUCCCGGCUGUGGCCUGGCUUAAGCAAUUCAUAAUCUACUGGACCCACUUGUCGAACUACUGUAAACGGGCCUUGCCACAUUGUGAGAUGCUUGCUCGAGGAUGCCGGAAGCGACACCAAAAACAUAUCUCUGGGCUGGGAGGUCUGGGCUCUUGUCUUCUUAUUAUAGUGGGUUUUUUGUUGCUCUUGAGCGGCCCUCAAAUUUUGGCCCACGAUCCGUUGGGCCUUGGUGAUCCGGUCCUGCAAUUCUUGGCGGUAUCUUUCCACAGAUAUUCCUAACCCUACCAGCCAUUCCCAUUCUUCCCUGAUGACCUGUAACAAACCCCAAGGGUUGUGGCCGUACACUAACUGGAACAGGAAAUACUGCGUUGACUCUUGGGGGGCAUCCCUCAAGGCAAACAACAACAGUGUUAAGAUGGUAUCCCACCUCUGGGGGUUUUCCUCCGAGAACCGCUUGAGCAACCGCUUGAUCAUCACAUUUAAUCUCUCCACUAGACUGUUCGUCUGGGGAUGGUACAGUGAUGUCUUUAACUGGGUGAUGCUAAGAGUUUUACACAGGGCUUUCAUCAUGCCAGACAUGAAAUUCGUCCCCUGGUCAGUGAGUAUUUCACGUGGUAUGCCAACCUGUGCUAUCCAUUUAAGCAGUUCUUCUGCUACUCGCGUUGCUGUAAUAGACCUAAGUAGGACAGCCUCCGGGAACUGGGUGGCAUAAUCCACUAAAACCAAUAUAUAUUGAUAACCAUUGUGUGACUUCGGGAGAGGUCCCACUAUGUCCAGCACAGUUUGGGAGAAUGAUGUCUCUAUUAUCGGCAUAGGGUGCAAUGGCACCCUAGGUGGUCUCCACUCCUGAGCCCUUUGGCACUCUGGGCGAGCGGCCCCCAAACCUUCCACGUCUUCUUGCAGACGUGGCCAAAAGAAUUCUUGGACCAGCCUAGCCUGGGUCUUGGUGCAUCCCAAAUGGCCUCCUAUUGGGGAGUCAUGAGCCAAUCUCCACACGGAGAGGCCGAGUGAGGACAGGACCACUAACUGUCUCCCUUUCAAGGCGCCUGCCUUGACCCGUUGGACCCGCUAUAAUAACCCCCCGAUUACCUCAAAGUUGGAAUGACUUCGCGACGUUCCUUCCCCGGAGUCUUCAGUCCAUAGCUGCUGGAGUUCUGGGUCUUUUUGUUGGGCCUGACGGAACUGAGCUGCACUAACCCCCUGCUCCAGGUUAAUACUGCCUGAUGCCACUUCCCUCUGGUGAGAUGGGCUUUCACCAGCCCAGCCUUCUCCCCUCCGGAGCCGCUUCCUUUCUUCCUCUGUAGCUCGUACCCAUUCGAGCACUCUGUAGAAUGGUCCCCAUUCUCUUCUGAGGAUCAUUUCACAGGCUAAGGCAGGUGCCAGUCCAACCCGCAGUUCGCCACAGAACUCCAUCACCCUAAACGGCAGAUAACAACUCCGAAAUGCACCUCACCGCCCAGUAUACACGUCAUUGUUAUGGGUCCAGCCUCUUUCCCCCCUGUCCACGGGGCAAGAUCUGCGCAGAGUAGGGACUGGGAACACCCCAUAUCCAGGGUUUGCUCUGACUGCAUUGCCCCUGAUCCAGGCGGUUACCACGGGGCAGUUCCAUCUUCCUUCUUGUGCGAUGAGCCCAAAACUACAAUCCAUGGGCUCUCCCCUUUCCAUCUCUUUGCCUUUCUCACGGGGCGGGGUAUAUACAGCUGGCCCACAGCCCAGCUCACUCAGGCCCAAACCACAUUCCCGGGAGAUGUGCCCCGUUUGCCCACAGUGAUAGCACACCAAACCUCUCGAUGCCUCUCUUCAUGGACCCAGUCUGCCUUUCCCCUUCACUCGCCAGGCUCUCCUUCAAGGCCCAUGAGCCUCACCCGUACCCUCUCUCACUUUCUGAGUUAGUGAAGGCCACCAGCCAGGUGGAGGGCCUCCUCGCUGGUCUGCGGUUGGUGUCUCCAUACCCACCUCUGGGUGUCUUCUUCCAAGUCCCAGAAAAACUGCUCUAAUAAGAUCUGGUCCAUCACCCCCUCCCGGUCAAACCUUCUGGCCGGUAACCAUUUAUUUAGUGAAUCCCGAAGAGACUGCAACAAGCCGUGGGGCCGCUUAGCUUCUUUUGGUUUUUGUGCUCUACAUGCCUGCCUGUGACUUUCUGGGGAAAUUUCCAACUUAUAGAGGAUCGCCACCUUGACAGCCUCAUAAUCUCGGGUGUCCUCCCUCGACAGGGCCCAGUAGGCGGCUUGGGCCUGAUCUAUCACCAAGGUGCCUAACUGGUGGCCACACUGACUGUGAUCCAGCCCUGUCUGGAUAGCGGUCCUCUCAAAGGCUUUUACGUAAGCUUCAGGAUCAUCUUCCCAUGUCAUUCGGGGCAUCUUGAAUAGGGCAGCAUUGCGCUGUGUCCACUCUUGCUCGUGUGCCCCUUGCAACUGUUGCACCUUAAGCACUUGCCAUAUGGCCUGAAUAGCCUGUGUAAGUAGUUCCACGUGGGCUCUCGCUGGUGGUUGCAUCUCCACUUGCCCCCGGGUCAGGAUCUCUGUCCCACUGAUGCCGAAAAAUUCCCAGCCAAUGCACCACUGUGAUGAAACACAGUUAAUUACUCAAUUAAUUGAGUCUGCUCAGAUAUACUGUAAUUACAGCUUGUUGGAACGGCCUUGCUGUGUGUGUAUAGGUGCCCUUUGUGUUUGUGGAGAGUGUCAGGGGAGUCUUUGUCCCAGAGAACAUCUCUUUUCAGGACCUGUUUUCCAGAAUGGCUGGGUUCUAUUCUCUUCAUAGAUGAAACUGGUUAAACACAUGGUUUCUCUCUCUCUUUCCCCCCCAAAAAAACACUCAUAUGUGUUUAUAACAUUUAAUAGCAGGGUUGACUGAUUCAGCUUGCGCUGGAGGGAUAAUGCCCUGAGAUAAUAAGAUGGAGGAUUGCUGAGGAGUUGGACUUGUACUGGGAGUAGGACAAUUUGGUAAAAAACAGUGGUGCCCACUUUUGGCUCCAUGGGCCAGAGGAGUGAUGGCAAAAGUGUCUGUGCCCACAUCCAUUCCUUGAGCCUUCUGGAAUGCGUGUAGCUAAGGACUGCUUUGACUGCAGCUGUGCACCAGAGCAGGCCUCUCUACCCCAGCCACAGCCCCAGGUGUACUGGAUUGGGUGAUCCCUUCCCUAGUCCCACUUGCACUGGAUCUGACCCUCUGCCUCAGCCCCACCCAUGUGCACACCAAAUCAUAGAUUUCAUAGACAUUAGGGCUGGAAGGGACCUUGUGAGAUCAUUGGGUCCAGCCCCCUGCACAAAGGGCAGGAGUCAGCUAGGAUCAGAUGACCCCAGCAAGAUAAGCAUCUUGGUAUCCAGAGUAGGUUCUUGCACCACUUCUGGGGGGAGUCUAUUCCAGACUCUGGAGACUUGGGUUGUGUGUAGAUGAAACAAAAUUUCCCAUUUACAUCAAUGCAACUGCGUUUGUGUUUGCAUGACCCGGGAUUUCCCGUCACUUUAAAGUCCAUUUAGUACCUUAAACUAACACUACUCAGAGAUGUUUUAGUUUGCGGAGCUUUCCUGUUACCCUGCUUCAACUGAAUUUUGUUCAUGAAAAGAACCAGAGACUCCAAAAAUUUCUAAUUAAUCCCCUUCACCAUGAGGGGACACUGCGUUUCAGCCUCUAGCCAGCAGGUGUCGCUGUGUGUGUGUGUGUGUGUGUGUGUGUGUGUGUUUGUUUGUUUGUUUGUUCUGGGUUUUGGUUUUGUUUGUUUUUUUUUACCCUCCUUCACCCCUCCCUCCUUCCUCACAGCACCUCACAGUUCAGGUUGGAAUGUGUGCGCUUGCUUGCUGAGGCCAAUUUAUUAUUAUUUUAAAAUGGGGGAGAGAAAUAAUCAUAUAAUUUUCUACCCCCUCUUUAUUGUUCACCCCCAACCACCUAUAGCCUAUGUCCUCUCCCCCCUUGCCCAUGUACCCUCCUGUACUCCUGUCCCAUCAGGUACCCUCCAUUUGCAACCCCCACACUGUGAUGCCAAUGCAGUGGCCAUAGCUCCUGAUGACAGCUGCAGUAUCAACAAAAUGAGCCAUGAUCAAAAGUCCAAGGGCAGCAGGACACUGCCUGCCAGAUCUGACACCCAGGGUAUGCAGCAUCUUGGGUGAUAUUUAGAAAACUGCUGGGGGUGGAACUUGCUGGGGACGGCAACCAGCCCAGAGCCCAGUGGAAAGAGAAUGGAGUGAAGAUCCUGAACAAUUUUUUUACAUUUUGUAUUUAUUGUAUUGCAUUGUGAAGUUGCAUAUAGUUAUUGUUGCUGCAGCAUUUUCAGUAAAAUGUUUUAUUUUUGUUUUA